UAGGUUUUCCCCUUCGGGGACAGAGUGACAGGUGGUGCAUGGUUGUCGUCAGCUCGUGUCGUGAGAUGUUGGGUUAAGUCCCGCAACGAGCGCAACCCUUGAUCUUAGUUGCCAGCAUUAGUUGGGCACUCUAAGGUGACUGCCGGUGACAAACCGGAGGAAGGUGGGGAUGACGUCAAAUCAUCAUGCCCCUUAUGACCUGGGCUACACACGUGCUACAAUGGAUGGUACAAAGGGGCCGAGCCCGCGAGGUCAAGCCAAUCCCGACUAAAACCAUUUCUCAGUGUCGGAUUGCAGGCUGCAACUGGCACUAGCAGUGAGAGCCUGGAAUCGGUUACAG
This 340-nucleotide ribosomal RNA is filed under the name uncultured organism. RNAcentral describes it as "bacterial SSU rRNA". It matches the Rfam family "Bacterial small subunit ribosomal RNA", at positions 1007 to 1333 of the family's 1533-position model. The record is from RNAcentral.